This 465-nucleotide ribosomal RNA is filed under the name uncultured bacterium. Its description in RNAcentral is "partial 16S ribosomal RNA". It matches the Rfam family "Bacterial small subunit ribosomal RNA", at positions 28 to 507 of the family's 1533-position model. The record is from RNAcentral.
GACGAACGCUGGCGGCGUGCUUAACACAUGCAAGUCGAACGGAAAGGCCCUGCUUGCCGGGUACUCGAGUGGCGAACGGGUGAGUAACACGUGGGUGAUCUGCCCUGCACUUCGGGAUAAGCCUGGGAAACUGGGUCUAAUACCGGAUAGGAGCCAUUUUUAGUGUGAUGGUUGGAAAGUUUUUUCGGUGUAGGAUGAGCUCGCGGCCUAUCAGCUUGUUGGUGGGGUAAUGGCCUACCAAGGCGGCGACGGGUAGCCGGCCUGAGAGGGUGGACGGCCACAUUGGGACUGAGAGACGGCCCAGACUCCUACGGGAGGCAGCAGUGGGGAAUAUUGCACAAUGGGCGCAAGCCUGAUGCAGAGACGCCGCGUGGGGGAUGACGGCCUUCGGGUUGUAAAAUCCUUUCGCUAGGGACGAAGCUUUUUGUGACGGUACCUAGAUAAGAAGCACCGGCUAACUACGUG